CGUUUUGAUCUUUACAUCAUGUUGGAAUGUUUUUCCCUCAUCAAAAACAUACCUGGAGUUUUGCUUUGAUUCUUUCAUGCAAGUUAGAGAAAUCCUCUAAUCUUCCAUGCCAACCACUCAGCUGUGCAAAACGCCUGGGUGAAGCGAGCGCCACUUCUGAAACAUUCUAACAUUCAUGUUCAAAUAUAAGCAGAAACUACAAGCUGAGCUUCAGCCUCAUAGAGCAGACCUCCACCAGCACUCCUCCACUCAGCUCCUUCAGGAGAUUCAAUUAACAAACACCUGGUGGAAGUGGGCGUCUACUGAGCUCAUGAUAAGAGCUACCUGCUAGAGAAACACGGGAAAAAUGUUAUGAAAGGGUUAAUAGGGGAGCAACGUUGUGAUGACUUCCUGAAGGCGGAGUUUCAGAAAGAACAGGAGUUUUUAAAGAGACAGAAGUCCAAUUUCUCUUAAGUCAUAUUUGAUAUUUAUUAUGGUAGCAAUCUACUGGAUUGUAGCUGAGAUAGUCUGACUGGUACCAUGUUUACCUCUGACCACCACCAGCAGAUCAGGUUGGUGAAACGUCUUGCCCAAGGACACAGCGAUGAAGGCAGAGAGAACGGGGGCUCAAACCGUCAAACCACCAAUUACAAGCCAAACUCCUUCCUUCUUCAUCGCCCCAUGAGUUUCUAGACCAAAUGAUAUUCUGACGUCCCUGGAGGUGUGGAUCAGAGAGUCCCUGUGUCGCUCACUCCUAGCAAACAGCUACAUAUAAUCAGAGGCGGUGAGUGACAGUAGACCUGUAUAUAUAGACCCACCGAUCUGUCCACUCAGAGUUAUUCACCAACCAACAUCAUGACUGCAAGACCUGCUGUGCUGGGGCUCCUGAUCAUCUGUGUUGCAGCAGGCAUGGCUGGAUCAGCGAGAAAGGCUUCUUGUGGUGAUCCGGUGACUUGGAAAUGCAAAUCGAAUGUGCAUCCUGUGUGUGGAAGCGACGGAUAUAGUUAUGGCAAUGAGUGUUUCCUCUGCAACGAGAUACGUGGAUCCAAACAGGAAAUCUCGAUCGUCAAAGAUGGAUACUGCUGACCAGUAUGGUUGAUAAUAUCAACACUAUGAGGCAGCCCAGAAAAGUCCACUGUUGUCUCAUUGUAAUAAAGUCUAAGUUUGAUCAA
Molecule: RNA transcript, 1151 nt
Organism: Gambusia affinis (western mosquitofish)
Lineage: Eukaryota; Metazoa; Chordata; Actinopteri; Cyprinodontiformes; Poeciliidae
Gene name: probable pancreatic secretory proteinase inhibitor
Exons: 5
Source: RefSeq, a predicted model, not a curated record